RNAcentral lists this ribosomal RNA (2932 nucleotides) under Proteus mirabilis. RNAcentral describes it as "bacterial LSU rRNA". It matches the Rfam family "Bacterial large subunit ribosomal RNA". The record is from RNAcentral. Lineage: Bacteria; Pseudomonadati; Pseudomonadota; Gammaproteobacteria; Enterobacterales; Morganellaceae.
GGGUUGUGAGGUUAAGCGAAUAAGCGUACACGGUGGAUGCCUAGGCAAUCAGAGGCGAUGAAGGACGUGCUAAUCUGCGAAAAGCGUCGGUAAGGUGAUAUGAACCGUUAUACCCGACGAUAUCCGAAUGGGGAAACCCAGUAUCCAAUGGAUACUAUCAUUAACUGAAUCCAUAGGUUAAUGAGGCGAACCGGGAGAACUGAAACAUCUCAGUACCCCGAGGAAAAGAAAUCAACCGAGAUUCCCCUAGUAGCGGCGAGCGAACGGGGAGCAGCCCAGAGUCUUAAUCAAUAGCAGUGUCAGGAGAACGGUCUGGAAAGUCCGGCAGUAAAGGGUGAUAGCCCCGUAUCUGAAGAUGCUGUUAUUGUGAACUCGACGAGUAGGGCGGGACACGUGUUAUCCUGUCUGAAUAUGGGGGGACCAUCCUCCAAGGCUAAAUACUCCUGAUUGACCGAUAGUGAACCAGUACCGUGAGGGAAAGGCGAAAAGAACCCCGGCGAGGGGAGUGAAAAAGAACCUGAAACCGUGUACGUACAAGCAGUAGGAGCCUCUUUAUGGGGUGACUGCGUACCUUUUGUAUAAUGGGUCAGCGACUUAUAUUCUGUAGCGAGGUUAACCGUAUAGGGGAGCCGUAGGGAAACCGAGUCUUAACUGGGCGAAUGAGUUGCAGGGUAUAGACCCGAAACCCGGUGAUCUAUCCAUGGGCAGGUUGAAGGUUGGGUAACACUAACUGGAGGACCGAACCGACUAAUGUUGAAAAAUUAGCGGAUGACUUGUGGAUGGGGGUGAAAGGCCAAUCAAACCGGGAGAUAGCUGGUUCUCCCCGAAAGCUAUUUAGGUAGCGCCUCGUGAACUCAUCUUCGGGGGUAGAGCACUGUUUCGACUAGGGGGUCAUCCCGACUUACCAACUCGAUGCAAACUGCGAAUACCGAAGAAUGUUAUCACGGGAGACACACGGCGGGUGCUAACGUCCGUCGUGAAGAGGGAAACAACCCAGACCGCCAGCUAAGGUCCCAAAGUCAUGGUUAAGUGGGAAACGAAGUGGGAAGGCUCAGACAGCCAGGAUGUUGGCUUAGAAGCAGCCAUCAUUUAAAGAAAGCGUAAUAGCUCACUGGUCGAGUCGGCCCGCGCGGAAGAUGUAACGGGGCUAAACCAUGCACCGAAGCUGCGGCAGCGACACAAAGUGUUGUUGGGUAGGGGAGCGUUCUGUAAGCCUGCGAAGGUGUACUGUGAGGUAUGCUGGAGGUAUCAGAAGUGCGAAUGCUGACAUAAGUAACGAUAAUGCGGGUGAAAAACCCGCACGCCGGAAGACCAAGGGUUCCUGUCCAACGUUAAUCGGGGCAGGGUGAGUCGACCCCUAAGGCGAGGCUGAAAAGCGUAGUCGAUGGGAAACGGGUUAAUAUUCCCGUACUGGUGGUAACUGCGAUGGGGGAACGGAGAAGGCUAGGUUGUCCGGGCGACGGUCGUCCCGGUUCAAGCAGGUAGGCAGAGUGAUUAGGCAAAUCCGGUCACUUAAUGCUGAGAUGUGAUGACGAACCACCAAGGUGGUGAAGCAAUUGAUGCCCCGCUUCCAGGAAAAGCCUCUAAGCUUCAGGUUACCAACAAUCGUACCCCAAACCGACACAGGUGGUCAGGUAGAGAAUACUCAGGCGCUUGAGAGAACUCGGGUGAAGGAACUAGGCAAAAUGGUGCCGUAACUUCGGGAGAAGGCACGCUGGCGGUAGGUAAAGUCCCUCGCGGACGGCGCUGAAGCCAGUCGAAGAUACCAGCUGGCUGCAACUGUUUAUUAAAAACACAGCACUGUGCAAACACGAAAGUGGACGUAUACGGUGUGACGCCUGCCCGGUGCUGGAAGGUUAAUUGAUGGGGUCAGCCGCAAGGCGAAGCUCCUGAUCGAAGCCCCAGUAAACGGCGGCCGUAACUAUAACGGUCCUAAGGUAGCGAAAUUCCUUGUCGGGUAAGUUCCGACCUGCACGAAUGGCGUAAUGAUGGCCAGGCUGUCUCCACCCGAGACUCAGUGAAAUUGAACUCGCUGUGAAGAUGCAGUGUACCCGCGGCAAGACGGAAAGACCCCGUGAACCUUUACUAUAGCUUGACACUGAACAUUGAGCCUUGAUGUGUAGGAUAGGUGGGAGGCUUUGAAGUGUGGACGCCAGUCUGCAUGGAGCCAACCUUGAAAUACCACCCUUUAACGUUUGAUGUUCUAACCUAGGCCCAUAAACUGGGUCGGGGACCGUGUCUGGUGGGUAGUUUGACUGGGGCGGUCUCCUCCUAAAGAGUAACGGAGGAGCACGAAGGUUGGCUAAGCAUGGUCGGACAUCAUGCGGUUAGUGCAAAGGCAUAAGCCAGCUUGACUGCGAGAGUGACGGCUCGAGCAGGUACGAAAGUAGGUCUUAGUGAUCCGGUGGUUCUGAAUGGAAGGGCCAUCGCUCAACGGAUAAAAGGUACUCCGGGGAUAACAGGCUGAUACCGCCCAAGAGUUCAUAUCGACGGCGGUGUUUGGCACCUCGAUGUCGGCUCAUCACAUCCUGGGGCUGAAGUAGGUCCCAAGGGUAUGGCUGUUCGCCAUUUAAAGUGGUACGCGAGCUGGGUUUAGAACGUCGUGAGACAGUUCGGUCCCUAUCUGCCGUGGGCGUUGGAAGAUUGAGAGGGGUUGCUCCUAGUACGAGAGGACCGGAGUGAACGCACCACUGGUGUUCGGGUUGUCAUGCCAAUGGCAUUGCCCGGUAGCUAAGUGCGGAAGAGAUAACCGCUGAAAGCAUCUAAGCGGGAAACUUGCCUCGAGAUGAGUCUUCCCUGUCGCUUUAAGCGACCUAAAGGAACGUUUAAGACUAAGACGUUGAUAGGCUGGGUGUGUAAGCGUAGUGAUACGUUGAGCUAACCAGUACUAAUGAACCGUGAGGCUUAACCUGACAACACCGAAAGUGUUUUG